This is a long non-coding RNA of Quercus lobata, 1974 nucleotides long. RefSeq lists it as uncharacterized. The record is from RefSeq and is a predicted model, not a curated record. The transcript has 2 exons. NCBI's taxonomy places the organism in Eukaryota, Viridiplantae, Streptophyta, Magnoliopsida, Fagales, Fagaceae.
AGACCUGAUUUUUCAUGUGGCUUCCCCAUCAUUCAAAUAAUCAUGUGGAAAUCUUUCUCUCCUCCUAGCCACUCAUUAUAACAUUGCAUUCAAGUUUAUUGUCCUUUUGUCAAGGUGCCACACAUGAGCUUUGAUUAUUGUCCUUUUGUUUACCAAUAAGUCUAUGUGCACUGAAAAUAGUUCGCAACAUUUUCAAACCUUCUCUUUAUUGUUGUGGUGGGAUCAAAUAUAAGUGAGAUAGGGUGAAAAAUUUUAUUCCGAGCCGUAAAGCCACCGGCUUCUUAAAUGAUUUUUGUCCUAAUAACUUGGUAGGCCAUCGAGACCUGAUUUUCCAUGUAUUUCAUCGGUUAGCUUAGAAACAGAUAGAGAAUUCAAUGCUAGUUAUCCCCAAGAUAGGGAUUGCAAUAGAAAGAUGCUACCUAAUAAGUCUAUGUGCACUGGAUAUAGUUCACAACAUUUUCAAACCUUCGGUUUAUUGUUAUGGUGGGCUUAAAUAUAAGUGAGAUAGGGUGUAAAAUUUUCUUCCGUAGCCGUAAAGCCACCAGCUUCUUAAAUGAAUUUUGUCCUAAUAACUUGGUAGGCCAUCGAGACUUGAUUUUCCAUGUGGCUUCCCCAUCAUUCAAAUAAUCAUGUGGAAGUCUUUCUCUCCUCCUAGCCACUCAUUAUAACAUUGCAUCCAAGUUUAUUGUCCUUUUGUCAAGGUGCCACACAUGAGUUUUAAUUAUUGUCCUUUUGUUUACCAAUAAGUCUAUGUGCACUGGAAAUAGUUCGCAACAUUUUCAAACCUUCUCUUUAUUGUUGUGGUGGGAUCAAAUAUAAGUGAGAUAGGGUGUAAAAUUUUCUUCCGAGCCAUAAAGCCACCGGCUUCUUAAAUGAUUUUUGUCCUAAUAACUUGGUAGGCCAUCGAGACCUGAUUUUCCAUGUAUUUCAUCGGUUAGCUUAGAAUCAGAUAGAGAAUUCAAUGCUAGUUAUCCCCAAGAUAGGGAUUGCAAUAGAAAGAUGCUACCUAAUAAGUCUAUGUGCACUGGAUAUAGUUCACAACAUUUUCAAACCUUCUGUUUAUUGUUGUGGUGGGCUCAAAUAUAAGUGAGAUAGGGUGUAAAAUUUUCUUUCGUAGCCGUAAAGCCAUCGGCUUCUUAAAUGAUUUUUGUCCUAAUAACUUGGUAGGCCAUCGAGACCUGAUUUUCCAUGUAUUUCAUCGGUUAGCUUAGAAACAGAUAGAGAAUUCAAUGCUAGUUAUCCCCAAGAUAGGGAUUGCAAUAGAAAGAUGCUACCUAAUAAGUCUAUGUGCACUGGAUAUAGUUCACAACAUUUUCAAACCUUCUGUUUAUUGUUAUGGUGGGCUCAAAUAUAAGUGAGAUAGGGUGUAAAAUUUUCUUCCGUAGCCAUAAAGCCACCGGCUUCUUAAAUGAUUUUUGUCCUAAUAACUUGGUAGGCCAUCGAGACCUGAUUUUCCAUGUAUUUCAUCGGUUAGCUUAGAAACAGAUAGAGAAUUUAAUGCUAGUUAUCCCCAAGAUAGGGAUUGCAAUAGAAAGAUGCUACCUAAUAAGUCUAUGUGCACUGGAUAUAGUUCACAACAUUUUCAAACCUUCUGUUUAUUGUUGUGGUGGGCUCAAAUAUAAGUGAGAUAGGGUGUAAAAUUUUCUUUCGUAGCCGUAAAGCCAUCGGCUUCUUAAAUGAUUUUUGUCCUAAUAACUUGGUAGGCCAUCGAGACCUGAUUUUCCAUGUAUUUCAUCGGUUAGCUUAGAAACAGAUAGAGAAUUCAAUGCUAGUUAUCCCCAAGAUAGGGAUUGCAAUAGAGAGAUGCUACCUAAUAUACCAUGAAACGAAGCAAAAAUUCUAGAAUUAGAAUUUUUGCCACAAUUACCUGUAUGACAAAUUGUGAGUGGUGGAGAAAAAAUGGUGAGUCCAUAUUAAAGUGAUGAGUAGUCAAUCACAAUUUUCCAUAUAAAAUAAUUGCGUUAAAAGUUGUGA